GCAGUCGCCGCGGUAAUACGAAGGGUGCAAGCGUUAAUCGGAAUUACUGGGCGUAAAGCGUGCGUAGGCGGUGAGUUAAGUCUGCUGUGAAAUCCCCGGGCUCAACCUGGGAAUGGCAGUGGAUACUGGCUCGCUAGAGUGUGUCAGGGGAUGGUGGAAUUCCCGGUGUAGCGGUGAAAUGCGUAGAGAUCGGGAGGAACAUCAGUGGCGAAGGCGGCCAUCUGGGACAACACUGACGCUGAGGCACGAAAGCGUGGGGAGCAAACAGGAUUAGAUACCCCCGUAGUCCCUGUCUCUUAUAC
Molecule: ribosomal RNA, 302 nt
Filed under: uncultured bacterium
Lineage: Bacteria
Description: partial 16S ribosomal RNA
Rfam family: Bacterial small subunit ribosomal RNA
Source: RNAcentral